This 408-nucleotide ribosomal RNA is filed under the name Geomydoecus craigi. Its description in RNAcentral is "partial 12S ribosomal RNA". Lineage: Eukaryota; Metazoa; Arthropoda; Insecta; Psocodea; Trichodectidae. The record is from RNAcentral.
CCCUAUUAUUCUCGAUAUCUAAAGGACUAAGCAUUGAAUAUGUUUAAAAUAAAACAACAUGGCGGUGGAAUAAUCGUUUAGAGACUUAUGUGCUUAAUAGAUACCACACAAAAAUCUUACUCUAGUAUAAAUAUCCUCGAAUAUAGCCGUCCGAAGAACAUAAUUUGAAUAAUGUAUAAUCAACUCGGUAUUUAAAGUUAGUAACAUUUUACUAGCAUGGCUAAAUACUAGCUAUAAUUGCAAUAAUCGAAUAAGACAGGCAAUCAUUUGGGAUACGAGAGGUAGUAUGUAUGUCAAUUGUAGAAAAAUCAACGAGGUAUUGUAAUAUAUUUCGAACAGAGAAUCUAAAAGUAACUACUCUUCAAAAUAGUUUGGUGAAUUAGACCAUUUUCUAUGCACACAUCGCCC